Molecule: ribosomal RNA, 406 nt
Filed under: uncultured bacterium
Lineage: Bacteria
Description: partial 16S ribosomal RNA
Rfam family: Bacterial small subunit ribosomal RNA
Source: RNAcentral
GUUGAACGCUGGCGGCGUGCCUAAUACAUGCAAGUAGAACGCAGUUGCGAACGGGUGAGUAACGCGUAGGUAACUGCCUCAUAGCGUGGGAUAACUAUUGGCAACGAUAGCUAAUACCGCAUCCUGUGCGAUGGACCUGCGUUGUAUGAGCUAGUUGGGCAGGCACAGGCUCACCAAGGCGACGAUACAUCGCCGAUCUGCGAGGGGGACCAGCCACACUGGGACUGAGACACGGCCCAGACUCCUACGGUAGGCAGCAGUAGGGAAUCUUCGGCAAUGGACGGAAGUCUGACCGAGCAACGCCGCGUGAGUGAAGAAGGUUUUCGGAUCGUAAAGCUCUGUUGUUAGAGAAGCGGUAACGAACCAGAAAGGGACGGCUAACUACGUGCCAGCGGCGCGGUAAUUC